RNAcentral lists this ribosomal RNA (468 nucleotides) under uncultured bacterium. RNAcentral's name for it is "partial 16S ribosomal RNA". It matches the Rfam family "Bacterial small subunit ribosomal RNA", at positions 28 to 507 of the family's 1533-position model. The record is from RNAcentral.
GACGAACGCUGGCGGCGUGCUUAACACAUGCAAGUCGAACGGAAAGGCCCUGCUUUUGUGGGGUGCUCGAGUGGCGAACGGGUGAGUAGCACGUGAGUAACCUGCCCUUGACUUUGGGAUAACUUCAGGAAACUGGGGCUAAUACCGGAUAGGAGCUCCUGCUGCAUGGUGGGGGUUGGAAAGUUUCGGCGGUUGGGGAUGGACUCGCGGCUUAUCAGCUUGUUGGUGGGGUAGUGGCUUACCAAGGCUUUGACGGGUAGCCGGCCUGAGAGGGUGACCGGCCACAUUGGGACUGAGAUACGGCCCAGACUCCUACGGGAGGCAGCAGUGGGGAAUAGUGCACAAUGGGCGGAAGCCUGAUGCAGCGACGCCGCAUGCGGGAUGACGGCCUUCGGGUUGUAAACCGCUUUCGCCUGUGACGAAGCGUGAGUGACGGUAAUGGGUAAAGAAGCACCGGCUAACUACGUG